AGACGAACAAACAAAGCAUUCAGCGGGAGAGCAAAAGGCGUCACAGUGCGAAGUUGACCUGGAACUGCGUCCGUGCGCAAAUGACAGCUUCAAGACGACCUUAUUUUUUGACAAGUCCAGUAAGCGAUGCGUGGAGAGAAGUGCCUUCAUACCUGGCUGCUUGCGCGAGCCCAGUGACACCGGGACCAUAGGAACCAUAGACACGGACACCGCUUGCCUACAGCUCUGUGAAAGCAAAAGGCCAGUGGACUCACGGUGCUACGUGACAUGGGAGCUCCGUACCUGCGAAGCUGCAGACAUAUUGCCACUCUUUGUGGUACAGCAGGAUCCUCAAACAAGCAACGUCGUCUGCAAAGCACUGCAAGCAGACGGUCGUUGUCCACCAGAAGGCAAAGCCUACACUUCGCAGCAAGCAUGCGAAAAAGCUUGCGUAAAUGUUCCAACCAAGUGUCCACCGUGGGAUAACGUCUACGACUCCUGGUGUGCAAGGACGUACCGGAAACGUCAGGCGUUUUUUAAUAUCUUCACAGGAAAGUGCGAUUCUAUUACUGAGGUUUGCAUCGCCGGAAUCAACAGCUUCAUGACGAAGGCCGAAUGUGAAAAUACGUGCAGCCACUGACGUGAAGCACGCAAUAGCUAUGCGGCGUAUAUAUACAAACAUUGCUGUACACACAUCUAUAAAUUACAUCCAGUAAAUACUUACAAUGGCAUA
This is a long non-coding RNA of Ornithodoros turicata, 712 nucleotides long. RefSeq lists it as uncharacterized. The transcript has 4 exons. The record is from RefSeq and is a predicted model, not a curated record. NCBI's taxonomy places the organism in Eukaryota, Metazoa, Arthropoda, Arachnida, Ixodida, Argasidae.